Molecule: transfer RNA, 70 nt
Filed under: Conocephalus melaenus
Lineage: Eukaryota; Metazoa; Arthropoda; Insecta; Orthoptera; Tettigoniidae
Description: tRNA-Val
Rfam family: tRNA
About the family: Transfer RNA (tRNA) molecules are approximately 80 nucleotides in length. Their secondary structure includes four short double-helical elements and three loops (D, anti-codon, and T loops).
Source: RNAcentral
CAAAGCAAAGCUUAUAGUAAGUAUUUCAUUUACACUGAAAAGAUUGUUCGUGCGAUUCGAAUUGUUUUGA